This 602-nucleotide ribosomal RNA is filed under the name Marasmiellus candidus. RNAcentral's name for it is "eukaryotic LSU rRNA". It matches the Rfam family "Eukaryotic large subunit ribosomal RNA", at positions 1 to 602 of the family's 3401-position model. Lineage: Eukaryota; Fungi; Basidiomycota; Agaricomycetes; Agaricales; Omphalotaceae. The record is from RNAcentral.
UUGACCUCAAAUCAGGUAGGACUACCCGCUGAACUUAAGCAUAUCAAUAAGCGGAGGAAAAGAAACUAACAAGGAUUCCCCUAGUAACUGCGAGUGAAGAGGGAAAAGCUCAAAUUUAAAAUCUGGCAGUCUCUGAUUGUCCGAGUUGUAAUUUAGAGAAGUGUUACCCGCGUUGGACCGUGUACAAGUCUCCUGGAAUGGAGCGUCAUAGAGGGUGAGAAUCCCGUCUUUGACACGGACUACCAAGGCUUUGUGGUGCGCUCUCGAAGAGUCGUGUUGUUUGGGAAUGCAGCACUAAAUGGGUGGUAAAUUCCAUCUAAAGCUAAAUAUUGGCGAGAGACCGAUAGCGAACAAGUACCGUGAGGGAAAGAUGAAAAGAACUUUGGAAAGAGAGUUAAACAGUACGUGAAAUUGCUGAAAGGGAAACGCUUGAAGUCAGUCGCGUUGGCUAGGGAUCAACCUUGCUUUUGUGGGGUGUACUUCCUAGUUAACGGGUCAACAUCAGUUUUGACUGCUGGAAAAAGGCUAGGGAAAUGUGACAACUCCGGUUGUGUUAUAGUCUCUAGUCAUAUGCAGUGGUUGGGACUGAGGAACUCAGCACG